RNAcentral lists this transfer RNA (71 nucleotides) under Cordylochernes scorpioides. RNAcentral describes it as "tRNA-Asp". Lineage: Eukaryota; Metazoa; Arthropoda; Arachnida; Pseudoscorpiones; Chernetidae. The record is from RNAcentral.
UGCAUCGGCCGGGAAUCGAACCCUGGCCGCCCGCGUGACGGGCAAGCAUUCUACCACUGAACCACCGGUGC